AUGUUGCUUGCAAAUGUAAAUCUGAGUUAUAUCAUGGAAAAGGAAUCAAUGGUCCCUAAGAACAUUAUGGGUUAUAUGGAAAAUCGGAACAUUGGUGACUGUUCUUCGGAAAGGAAUAAAAAGUGGAUGAUGAAUUUGCAAGACGUUUUGGCCAAAAUCGCUAAACUGUCAGAGGAUAGCACGAUGGCUGCUGACGAGGACGCGUGGUUACGUUCACCAGGAGACGUGGCCUUGCAUUUGAGAUCGUUGGACGUACACAUAAUCAAGAAAGCGACUGAAGAACUGAAGAAGAGGAUGAACGAGAUAGAGAGGAAAAAUGAAAUCCUGAUGAAGACCAUCGCGGAAAGUAGAUCGAGGAUACGCGCGGCGAACAACAAUGUGGCGAAAAUUUUGGAUCAUGUGCCCGUUGCUUGACAACGGUUGGAGAAAACGAAUGAGCAAUUGGCGACUUGCUUGAUAGCAAUUGAUAGUGAAUGA
RNA transcript from Harpegnathos saltator (Jerdon's jumping ant), 477 nucleotides. RefSeq lists it as uncharacterized. The record is from RefSeq and is a predicted model, not a curated record. The transcript is spliced from 4 exons. NCBI's taxonomy places the organism in Eukaryota, Metazoa, Arthropoda, Insecta, Hymenoptera, Formicidae.